This is a long non-coding RNA of Bombyx mandarina (wild silkworm), 494 nucleotides long. RefSeq lists it as uncharacterized. The record is from RefSeq and is a predicted model, not a curated record. Lineage: Eukaryota; Metazoa; Arthropoda; Insecta; Lepidoptera; Bombycidae.
CGGAAUCACGUCGAAUUUCGGCAAGAACUUCGCAUCGCAAAAUCAUUUUAUUUGUCAAAUCAAAAGUUAGUGUUUUAAGUGUUUGUUGUGAGUGAGAAUAUACGAAAACGUUAUAAACCGCUGUUAAUUAUUAAAAAAAUACUAUUAAUUAACAAAAUUGCACUUUAAAAUAACUUUAUUCUUCAUCGAUAUUUUAUGGAGCGUAUGUUUUUAUUGAAAACAUUGUUGAAAGAGGCUGACGCUACGGAUCAGCGUGAAAUGCGUCGACAAGCCUACGAAAUUCACAAUUUAUCACUUUUAACUUGAGAUGACGACUAUGUAAAAGUAUAAAGAAAGUGUAUAGAUUGUCGAAGGAUCAUAUGAACCAGUUAGGGUGUGAAUUACACCCUUUGAUGAAGACCACUAAAAGCCAUUGAAAAGGACUUUCAACUCUUCUAAAGUUUCAGUUAUUGUGCACCUUGUUAUUUUUGGCCAAUUGAAGUUACCAAAAAAAU